GAUGAACGCUGGCGGCGUGCCUAAUACAUGCAAGUCGAGCGAACAGACGAGGAGCUUGCUCCUCUGACGUUAGCGGCGGACGGGUGAGUAACACGUGGAUAACCUACCUAUAAGACUGGGAUAACUUCGGGAAACCGGAGCUAAUACCGGAUAAUAUAUUGAACCGCAUGGUUCAAUAGUGAAAGACGGUUUUGCUGUCACUUAUAGAUGGAUCCGCGCCGCAUUAGCUAGUUGGUAAGGUAACGGCUUACCAAGGCAACGAUGCGUAGCCGACCUGAGAGGGUGAUCGGCCCCACUGGAACUGAGACACGGUCCAGACUCCUACGGGAGGCAGCAGUAGGGAAUCUUCCGCAAUGGGCGAAAGCCUGACGGAGCAACGCCGCGUGAGUGAUGAAGGUCUUCGGAUCGUAAAACUCUGUUAUUAGGGAAGAACAAAUGUGUAAGUAACUAUGCACGUCUUGACGGAACCUAAUCAGAAAGCCACGGCUAACUACGUG
Molecule: ribosomal RNA, 497 nt
Filed under: uncultured bacterium
Lineage: Bacteria
Description: partial 16S ribosomal RNA
Rfam family: Bacterial small subunit ribosomal RNA
Source: RNAcentral